RNAcentral lists this ribosomal RNA (455 nucleotides) under uncultured eubacterium WJGRT-67. RNAcentral's name for it is "bacterial SSU rRNA". It matches the Rfam family "Bacterial small subunit ribosomal RNA", at positions 46 to 543 of the family's 1533-position model. The record is from RNAcentral.
GCUUUACACAUGCAAGUCGUACGAGAGUUUUAACUCAAGUGGCGGACGGGUGAGUAACACGUAAGAAUUUGCCUUUAGGAGGGGGAUAACAACUGGAAACGGUUGCUAAUACCCCAUAUGCUUUCGAGUAAAACGGAUUUUCCGCCUAAAGAGAAGCUUGCGGCUGAUUAGCUUGUUGGUGAGGUAAUGGCUCACCAAGGCGACGAUCAGUAUCUGGUUUGAGAGGAUGAUCAGACACACUGGAACUGAGACACGGUCCAGACUCCUACGGGAGGCAGCAGUGGGGAAUUUUCCGCAAUGGGCGAAAGCCUGACGGAGCAAUACCGCGUGAGGGAUGACGGCCUAUGGGUUGUAAACCUCUUUUUUCAGGGAGGAAUCAAUGACGUGUACCUGAAGAAUAAGCAUCGGCUAACUCCGUGCNAGCAGCCGGCGUAAGACGGAGGAUGCAAGUGUUA